Molecule: ribosomal RNA, 745 nt
Filed under: uncultured Bacillus sp.
Lineage: Bacteria; Bacillati; Bacillota; Bacilli; Caryophanales; Bacillaceae
Description: SSU rRNA
Rfam family: Bacterial small subunit ribosomal RNA
Source: RNAcentral
CAACCGUGGAGGGUCAUUGGAAACUGGGGAACUUGAGUGCAGAAGAGGAAAGUGGAAUUCCACGUGUAGCGGUGAAAUGCGUAGAGAUGUGGAGGAACACCAGUGGCGAAGGCGACUUUCUGGUCUGUAACUGACACUGAGGCGCGAAAGCGUGGGGAGCGAACAGGAUUAGAUACCCUGGUAGUCCACGCCGUAAACGAUGAGUGCUAAGUGUUAGAGGGUUUCCGCCCUUUAGUGCUGCAGCUAACGCAUUAAGCACUCCGCCUGGGGAGUACGGCCGCAAGGCUGAAACUCAAAGGAAUUGACGGGGGCCCGCACAAGCGGUGGAGCAUAUGGUUUAAUUCGAAGCAACGCGAAGAACCUUACCAGGUCUUGACAUCCUCUGACAACCCUAGAGAUAGGGCCUUCCCCUUUUGGGGGACAGAGUGACAGGUGGUGCAUGGUUGUCGUCAGCUCGUGUCGUGAGAUGUUGGGUUAAGUCCCGCAACGAGCGCAACCCUUGAUCUUAGUUGCCAGCAUUCAGUUGGGCACUCUAAGGUGACUGCCGGUGACAAACCGGAGGAAGGUGGGGAUGACGUCAAAUCAUCAUGCCCCUUAUGACCUGGGCUACACACGUGCUACAAUGGAUGGUACAAAGAGCCCGCAAACCCGCGAGGGUAAGCUAAUCUCAUAAAGCCAUUCUCAGUUCGGAUUGCAGGCUGCAACUCGCCUGCAUGAAGCCGGAAUCGCUAGUAAUCGCGGAUCA